This 406-nucleotide ribosomal RNA is filed under the name uncultured bacterium. Its description in RNAcentral is "partial 16S ribosomal RNA". It matches the Rfam family "Bacterial small subunit ribosomal RNA", at positions 30 to 526 of the family's 1533-position model. The record is from RNAcentral.
AUUGAACGCUGGCGGCAGGCCUAACACAUGCAAGUCGAACGAGUGGCGGACGGGUGAGUAAUAUAUGGGGACGUGCCCAAUAGCGGGGGAUAACUACUCGACAGUGUAGCUAAUCCCGCAUACUAUUGGAACCCCCCAUGUGGGAUUAGCGUGUAGGGGGGGUAAAGGCUCACCAAGGCGACGAGCCCUAGCUGGUUUGAGUGGAUGACCAGUCACACGGGGAAUGAGACACGGCCCAGACGCCUACGUGAGGCAGCAGUGGGGAAUUUUGCACAAUGGGCGCAAGCCUGAUGCAGCCAUGCCGCGUGUAUGAUGAAGGCCUUCGGGUUGUAAAGUACUUUCGGUCGGGAGGCGUUACCGACAGAAGAAGCACCGGCUAACUCCGUGCCAGCAGCCGCGGUAAUAC